Molecule: long non-coding RNA, 1818 nt
Organism: Equus caballus (horse)
Lineage: Eukaryota; Metazoa; Chordata; Mammalia; Perissodactyla; Equidae
Source: Ensembl
AAGGAGUCUCUCUUCAAGAAGGCCAUGAUGGUGCUCAAUGGGGCCAGCCACCUGGGGGCCGUAAGCCAGAUGGAAGUUCCAGAGAAUAUUCUGUUGGGGAGCCCACUGAAUUACUAACAGCAAAGACUGCCCUUGAAUCUCCUUGGAAGAGACUAUACCAGUUCCUCCUCACUACUCAAACGGCAGUCAGACUCCAGGCACUUGAGCCUUGAGCCUACAUUUUGCAGCUGAGAAAGACUCCACCUGUACAAAUGCUGAAGACCUCUUAUCAAACGACUAGGAUGAGAUGCAGCUGACAUCGAGGUUGACCGCUUCCUCCCAAGACACUGGAUCAAGACUUCAUGCUUUAAACCUGAAAACCUUACCUCUUCCUUUCUUUCCUUUACUCUGACAUUGGCCUGGAAAGAACACCAUCAUCUAUAUCUCCCAGGCCAUUGCUAAGGGAGGGUAACACUUCAGACUGCUAGACCCGUAAUCAAAAACUCUAAUAUAUAUGCUAGAGACCCCCUGGUCUGUUUCCCUGUCUCUGGUUAAGAGCUUCAAACUUGGGGAACUUUGUAUCCAGGUUCUAUGCAAAGAAAGGGACACAAGGCAAGGGUAACCAGAAUAAAACUGCCUGUGUGGUCUACAGACCCUUACAUUACUGCCUCCAAGGCCUGAGCCACAGAGUCAAACAGGAGUUACCAGGAGGCAUUCAGGAUUCAGGAUUCGCUUCCACUAGCAGAACCCUACUGCCCUGGUUAGAAGUAAAUGUAAGUGAGGCUAUGACGAGAAACCUCUCCUUAACUCUUGAAAGUAUUGCAGAAUCUGCUGCUAAAGCAAUAAGCUGCCUAACAAAAAUUCUUAGACUCUCUGGCCAAAGUUGUUCUUGAUAACAGGAUAGCCCUUGAUUAUCUUUUAGCUGAGCAAGGAGGUGUCUGUGCUAUGGCCCGCACCACCGGCGGCACCUGGAUUAACACUCUGGGGAAGUCGAAAGUCAGUUACAUAAAAUCAUUUAAGCCACUCUGCUUAAAAAGGUGACUCCUUCAAAAGGGUGUUUCUGUGAUUUGUUUGAUUUUGAGUGGCUUGGGUCUUGGGGACCAUGACUCCAAAAUGCACUCCAAAUAUUGGGAAUUAUCCUACUUAUAAUAAUCAUAAUAACCUCCCUGGUGCAUUGUAUUCUCUCAAAAACUUUAAACACACGUUUUUAGACAUUAACCACCAAGCAAAUGAUCUCCCUAAGACUGGAACGUCAGAAAGGAACACAGAGAAUGACCAACUUGAAGAAUGUGAGCCUGAGGCCGUGACCUGUGAAUGCCACACAGAGGAUCGGCAAAAACUGUGAGAACUUGAGAGCAGUAGCCGACACUGGUGUUAAUGCCGUAUAUUUUUAUCACAUCUCUCAAUUAAGCCGAGAGUCUGAUCAAAAGGGAGGAAAUGGUUAAAAAGUAACAUCAGGCACCAAAUGGAGUCACUCGUGCCAAGCUCACGUAACCAAACUUAGACUUAAUACCUAGUCUAAUUGUAGUUUCAACCUUCCCCAGGAGUGUAACCUUAACUGGUCAGUCUGGGAUUUCCUGGUCAGCACUAGUGUGAUAAUCUGCCUAAUAGAUGUCUUUUGUCCCCCACAGGAAGAUGACCUUGCUGGAAAUAAUCCUUUUUUUUGUUUAUGACUUCCUUGUCCCACCCCUUCCCUGCCUUUAAAAAUCUUUCCUUUUCUGUAGCUCUGUGGACCCCCUUUCUCCUUGCCAGGGGAGUUGCUGCUCGACUCAUGGAUCAUUGAAUAAAACCAAUUUCAUCUUCAAAUUUACUCAGUUGAAUUUUGUUUUUUUAACAGUU